RNAcentral lists this unclassified non-coding RNA (267 nucleotides) under Hevea brasiliensis (rubber tree). Lineage: Eukaryota; Viridiplantae; Streptophyta; Magnoliopsida; Malpighiales; Euphorbiaceae. The record is from RNAcentral.
AGAAGUUCUAUAUUCUGAAGUGUAUCUCGAGUGUAUCACUACCCGUUUCUAAAGAUAUUCUCGAUUUGUUAGACCAAAUAAUAACCCAACUGAAAAUCGUCAACUUUUGUCCUAUCUUUCUCCAAAACUUCUCAACUCGAAAAUCCCUUCCAAUGUCCAACUAAAACAAUCCAACCGUUUUUUCCAAUCUUUUUCCGGCCAGCCCCCAGAGAUGAAGAAAAGAGAGCUUUUAUAGUGGGAAUUUAAGGCUGGAAAAUGAGGGAAAAU